Molecule: ribosomal RNA, 517 nt
Filed under: Lingulaulax polyedra
Lineage: Eukaryota; Dinophyceae; Gonyaulacales; Lingulodiniaceae
Description: Lingulodinium polyedra partial Bacterial large subunit ribosomal RNA
Rfam family: Bacterial large subunit ribosomal RNA
Source: RNAcentral
AGUAGGGCGGGACACGUGAAAUCCUGUCUGAACAUGGGGGGACCACCCUCCAAGCCUAAGUACUCCUUGUCGACCGAUAGCGAACAAGUACCGUGAGGGAAAGGUGAAAAGCACCCCGAUGAGGGGAGUGAAAUAGACCUGAAACCGGAUGCCUACAAGCAGUCGGAGCCUCCUUGAGGGGUGACGGCGUACCUUUUGUAUAAUGGGUCAGCGAGUUAGUCUGUCGAGCAAGCUUAAGCCGUUAGGUGUAGGCGCAGCGAAAGCGAGUCUGAAUAGGGCGUUGAGUUCGACGGAUUAGACCCGAAACCGGGUGAUCUAGCCAUGGGCAGGUUGAAGGUGCGGUAACACGCACUGGAGGACCGAACCCACGCCUGUUGAAAAAGUCGGGGAUGAGCUGUGGCUAGGGGUGAAAGGCCAAUCAAACUCCGUGAUAGCUGGUUCUCCCCGAAAUGCAUUUAGGUGCAGCGUUGCGUGGUUCUUGUUGGAGGUAGAGCACUGGAUGGUCUAGGGGGCUUAU